UCGUUCGUGCGCAGGCGUCGAAGCGUUCUCACAGCCCUUUUUAAAGUUAAUAGGGAUGGGAAAGUCUCAAAGUAUCUCAACUUCUGAAGCCAAAUAAAAGAUAUUUGACGAUGGAGUGUCAAGUAGGAAAACAACAACAAAAAAGAUAGAAAAUGAAAAACAAUAAUAAAACGAACGAAUUUAU
Long non-coding RNA from Octopus sinensis (East Asian common octopus), 184 nucleotides. RefSeq lists it as uncharacterized. NCBI's taxonomy places the organism in Eukaryota, Metazoa, Mollusca, Cephalopoda, Octopoda, Octopodidae. The transcript is spliced from 2 exons. The record is from RefSeq and is a predicted model, not a curated record.